Molecule: long non-coding RNA, 236 nt
Filed under: Ananas comosus (pineapple)
Lineage: Eukaryota; Viridiplantae; Streptophyta; Magnoliopsida; Poales; Bromeliaceae
Description: long non-coding RNA (ACOM_LNC000218)
Source: RNAcentral
ACCAUGCAGCAGCUUCUGGGCGAGCUUUUUGAUUCCGAGAAGCUAUAGCUUGAAGUUCAACAUACCAUUAAAGAGAGUUGUUGUUCUUUAAAUUUGCUUUGAAAUGUUUCUUAUCAUUAGAUUGGGUAACGUGGUAUUCUUUUUGUGUUUUAUAUUUUUCGCAUUCGUCCUUUAGUGUCCUAUUUCUCUUAUCUUUUGUCCUUCCUUUAGAAAAAUUUAUGGUCAAAUAUAUAAUA